CGCCGGCCAAGACAGCAUAGACCGAGUUACUGGUGUUUGCGUGAGUGAGAGUCGUAAGAGCUGCGGCCUGCAUUUCCGGACCUGUCCUUUUCCUCGUUCACGGCUUUUGACCCCGGGCUCACUGUCGCCAUCAGGUUGGCAUCCUCGCUGCGAUUCUGUGCUGCAGCCUGUGGCUGGAUUGUCUGCGACGCUUUCGCAGCCCUUGCCUGUCUGCUAACCGACUGGCCCAGGGCACCCGCAAGAUGAGGCUCUCCCUGGUGGCUGCGCUGCUGCUG
RNAcentral lists this non-coding RNA (275 nucleotides) under Tupaia belangeri chinensis (Chinese tree shrew). RNAcentral's name for it is "Tupaia chinensis (Chinese tree shrew) bip internal ribosome entry site (IRES)". It matches the Rfam family "bip internal ribosome entry site (IRES)". Rfam says of the family: This family represents the bip internal ribosome entry site (IRES). BiP protein expression has been found to be significantly enhanced by the heat shock response due to IRES-dependent translation. The record is from Rfam by way of RNAcentral. Lineage: Eukaryota; Metazoa; Chordata; Mammalia; Scandentia; Tupaiidae.